This is an RNA transcript of Malurus melanocephalus (red-backed fairy wren), 4009 nucleotides long. It is a transcript of the gene named solute carrier family 44 member 3, with no coding region annotated. The transcript is spliced from 17 exons. The record is from RefSeq and is a predicted model, not a curated record. Lineage: Eukaryota; Metazoa; Chordata; Aves; Passeriformes; Maluridae.
AGCCCAGGGCAGUGUAGCCCCGCCGAGCCGGCUGCGCCCCGGGCCCGCCCGCCCCGCGGAGAACGGCACGGCCCGGCGAGCGCGGCCAUGGAGCGGUGCGGGGGCCGGCGGCGGGACUCUGGAGAUAGUGUUUCUGAACUGCGAGAAUGGAGACCAGUCAUUCACAGAAAGUGCACAGACACUUUGUGGCUGCUCCUCUUCUGUCUUUUCUGGGCUGGCUUGAUGUUUAUAGGUGGCUAUGCUGUGGUGGCUGGUGCUGCAGAAAGACUUGUGCUUGGAUAUGACAGCUUUGGGAACAUAUGUGGUCGGAAGAACACUCCUGUAGAAGGGGCAAACCUUUCUGGAUUGGACAUGACUAAUAAAAAGUACGUGUUCUUUCUGAAUUCAUGCAGCCUGGAAAUACAAAGCCUGAAAAUCAGUUCAGUUUCCUUGUGUGUGUCAAGUUGUCCACAAGAGCAACUCAACUCUUUGGAAGAUCUCCAGAGUUUUGCAAGGAAUAAUGGCUCUUUUCUUUGUGUUUACAACCUGAAUGUCUCCAGUUACACACAAAAUCCAAGGGCAGCUCAGCUGUGUCCCACACUGCCAGUUCCACCAAGUAAAUCCUUUCCAUUAUUUAAUCGAUGUGUUCCACAACAUCCUGAAUGCUAUUCCAAAUAUGCAUCUGUCCUAAUAAGUAUGGUUAAUGAAAUGGAUGUUUUUCAUCGAAUUCUCAGUGGAAUAUUGGCAGGAAGAGAUACUGUGAUAGGACUGAGUGUCCUUGCAUUAGCCUUCUCUUUGGGACUGGUUUUAGCCUUCAGAUUCAUUCAGCCCCUCCUCAUCCAUACUCUGAUUGCACUGGUUGUAUUCGGGUUGUUGUUUGUCUCAGGUGUUCUCUGGUGGCUCUACUAUGACUACAAGAAUGACCCUAGCACUGAACUGGAAACAGAAAAGGAAAAUGCAAAGUUCCUGCUUGGAUAUGCCAUCUUCUCAACAAUAGUUACCGUUGUUCUGCUUUCCCUCAUAGUUGUACUAAGAAAGAGGCUUCCGUUCGCUGUACAGCUCUUUCGAAUUGUUGGUAAAAUCAUUGGCAGAAUUCCUUUCCUCCUGUUCCARCCAUUCUGGACCUUUCUGAUUCUCAUUGUGUUCUGGGUAUUUUGGGUUGCUGUACUACUUAGCUUAGGAACUGCAGGUACUGCACAGUCCACUUCAGGAGGACAAGUAGAAUACAGAGCUCUGUCUGGAAUUUGCUACAUGGCAUGGUAUCAUUUCGUUGGCCUUAUCUGGACUAGUGAAUUCAUUCUUGCCUGUCAGCAAAUGGUGAUUGCUGGGGCAGUGGUUACUUGUUAUUUCAACAGAAAUAAAAAUAGUCCACCACCUCACCCAGUCCUGUCUUCCAUAUCAGUUCUUUUUUGCUAUCAUCUAGGAACUGCUAUAAAAGGUUCGUUUCUAAUCACAAUACUGAGAAUACCAAGGAUUGUUUUCUUGUACCUUUACAAUAUUCUAAACCAAAAGAAAAAUGCAAAGUGCCUUUUCAACUGCUGCUUCUGCUGUGUUUGCUGCCAGGAAAGAUGCUUAAGAUACUUUAACCAGCAUGCAUACACAACUACAGCCAUAAAUGGGACAAAUUUUUGUACAUCAGCAAAGGAUGCCAUCUGUAUUUUGGAAAGGAAUUCUGCUAAACUUGCAUCCAUUAGCUGUUUUGGAGAUUUUCUCCUAUUUUURGGAAAGGUGUUUGUGGUAUGCUUUACUGUUUUUGGAGGACUGAUGGCAUUUAACUACCACCGGGAGUUGCAAGCAUGGGUAGUUCCUCUCUUGCUGGUUGGAUUUUUUGCCUACYUGAUGUCCCACAGCUUUCUGUCUGUGUUUGAAGUGACAGCAGAUGCCAUGUUCCUUUGCUUUGCUAUUGAUAUGGAAACAAAUGAUGGAACUGCAGAGAARCCAUACUUUGUGGACCAGGAGCUGCUGGCCUUUGUGAGUCAGAGUAACAAGUUAACAGAAGGGCARAAACACAGAAGCACAAGACCAUUCCAGGAUAAUGAAGAUGGGACAGAGCUCCAGCCUAUGACUUGAAUAUCCUGACAUCAGGAAGUGUGGAAGCAGAGCAGCAAUAGAAAACACAGUCUAGAAGUAAAGGUUACCAAUACCCCAGGACAAAGUUCUCUAAACCUGUUGUAUCUUAUGCACUGGUAAAAUGACACACAAUCUGURUGAAUAAAGUAUUUUGUGUGUUACCAUAUCUGAUUUUUAUUACCACACUUGUUAUGAUGGUCUGAAAGUUGUUAAUAAACUCAAUUUUUGUAAAUUUCUAUAUUGUCAGACUAAAACUAGUAAAUCACCAAGGUCAUUCUGGGAGCUCUUCUGGUGUCUGCCAUCAUCCCUAGAUCAGUAAAUGCAGAAACAUUUSUAGAGGAGGUGUUCUGAAAUGACUACGUAUCUGAACAGCCAAUUAAGGAACAGACUGAGCUCACUGAUGGAAAUUACCCUUGAUAGAAAUUCUCAGUAGUCAAGAUAAUUAGCAGUUAUGAGGUAGGUGUCUUUCUUUUAAUUAUACUCUUAUGGGAAUAGUUUUUACAASUUCGUAUCAUAAACUGUCCAGCUCUUCUCCAAAGGGCAGAUGAGGAAUAGUCCUUCCCUCYUUCUUUCUGCAGUUGAAAAGAUGAAGCAGAAAAAAUUGUAUCUGGAUUUACAGCUAGACAAAGUAACAGAUGACAGCGAUGAAAUAACAGGACAGACAUGAGAUUAAAGGAGGUUAUGAAUAGUACUUUAUAGAAAUGUUAGUUCUAAUAUGGGUGUGAAAAGUAUCAUGGACGAAUGUAGCGACUGUCAGGACUCUAGUCAGAAGAGGAAUGUAAGUGUAGACACUUUAAAAAAAAACUAACGUGAUAACAGUCUGCCAGCAUUUUUUUCUGAGAAAUUUUAAAGCUUGUUUUAACUUUUUACCUGAAUCCUGAUUGUAAUACACUUUGUGGSCUCUACUUUGUUCUGAGUAUCGAGUAGUUUUAGAUUUUACUCAGUGGCACAUUUUAUUCUCUUUGUUCAAAAGCUCAUUUAAAUUUUUUUUGAGGCGAGGUUUGAGGUGGAAAAAUGAUGCCAACCAGGGAUUUCAGUCAAGUAUCUAUAUAGGAAGUGAGAUAUAACUGCAGACAAUCCCUAGAUGACCUUCAGAGGCCYCUUCCAAUGUCAACAACUCUAUGGUUCUSCUCAUUGCAAUUAUGAUGCAGUGUCAUUGCCUUCACUGCAGCUCCAGAGUGGAGAAAGGACUCUCAAGACACUUCCUACAAAUUCUAGGUUGAUUUUUAAAAAAGGAAGGUACUGAAAAAUGCCAAUUAACUGUAUUUGAGUGUAUUCUGUUUAAGGAAUGCUGUACUGUCAUUAGUCCAGAAAUWACAUUGUAAAAUAAAGUUUUUGAGAACUGUCUAUUUUUACAGAAUAUUUCCAAAUACAUAGCUUUUAAUUAAAUUUGUACAGAAAACAUAGCUUUGGGGAACAACUCAAGAACUCCCAAUCUUACAUACACUGUAUUAGCAAUUGUGCUAACAACCUCCAGCUGCAGCAUUCCUGUGAGGCAGGAGUCUUCACAUGAAUUAGAGGGAUAAGGCACUGGUACCAAAGCUGAUGCUAUUCAGUGUUUGUUUCUCAGUGUUGCCUUCCCCUGCAGUAUCCUGUAGCCAGACUACAGUAAAGGAGGCUGUAUGUAGGCACAGCUCCUGGCAACAACAGUUCCUGCUGGUGCUAAGGGCAGGCUAAGCCACUUCCAAUAAUUUGAGGUCUGCCCCGAAAUGGAGCCCAGUAAGUGUGGACUCUUCUUUCCUGAAGCUAUGGAAGAUUAGAUUCAGCAGAACAAAAGGUACUUUUAAAACUUUAUUCCUUAAAAAUAGCAGAUGGGGACUACUGGCAUCUGUUUGCCAGAAAAUGGCCAACUAUUGCAGUCUAUUGUUUUAAGCAAGGCAUCUUGAUUUUGGUCUCGCUUGGUGUCUGCUUCAAGCUCUCAAUUCAGCUAUGAUUUCACCGUAUACCUCUGUGGAUKAAA